AAAUUGAAGAGUUUGAUCAUGGCUCAGAUUGAACGCUGGCGGCAGGCCUAACACAUGCAAGUCGAACGGUAACAGGAAGCAGCUUGCUGCUUUGCUGACGAGUGGCGGACGGGUGAGUAAUGUCUGGGAAACUGCCUGAUGGAGGGGGAUAACUACUGGAAACGGUGGCUAAUACCGCAUAACGUCGCAAGACCAAAGAGGGGGGACCUUCGGGCCUCUUGCCAUCAGAUGUGCCCAGAUGGG
This 243-nucleotide ribosomal RNA is filed under the name Salmonella enterica. RNAcentral describes it as "partial 16S ribosomal RNA". It matches the Rfam family "Bacterial small subunit ribosomal RNA", at positions 1 to 239 of the family's 1533-position model. Lineage: Bacteria; Pseudomonadati; Pseudomonadota; Gammaproteobacteria; Enterobacterales; Enterobacteriaceae. The record is from RNAcentral.